CGCGGCGCCGCUCUGUGGAGACUCUCAGCCUUCAUGUGUGAUGUGAAGGAAGUGAGAUGAGAGUCGGUGGCGCCGGCACUGGAAGCUGAAGCCCAGAUGAGGACGGACUGUGAGCGACUGAGCGGUUCCCCUUCGGUCGCUCGAGUCCAUUCGAUGCUCUAAGGAGAGCCCCUCCGAUGACCGAUCGUCACCGCGGACGCUGAAGAGUCCAGCCACAACGUCUCCGCUGCUCCGUCCACAGGUGUCCUCAGGCC
This 254-nucleotide long non-coding RNA is filed under the name Scleropages formosus (Asian bonytongue). RNAcentral describes it as "lncRNA (ENSSFOG00015030256.1)". The record is from RNAcentral. Lineage: Eukaryota; Metazoa; Chordata; Actinopteri; Osteoglossiformes; Osteoglossidae.